Molecule: RNA transcript, 6551 nt
Organism: Alosa sapidissima (American shad)
Lineage: Eukaryota; Metazoa; Chordata; Actinopteri; Clupeiformes; Clupeidae
Gene name: protocadherin alpha-C2-like
Exons: 3
Source: RefSeq, a predicted model, not a curated record
UCUGAUGGGACAUAGAGCAUGCGGUGGCGGCUCGCUCCUGCUUUCGAACAUCAUUAUAAAACAUGCUGCACAAUCUCAGAGCUCGUUUUUAGCAGCCCUGCAUUAGACGGGCUGGCCUCUCUGCACCGACAAGCAAAUGCAUUAGGUAAAUUCAAAUAUUUUGCACGCUACAAUGGAUCCUCUCUCAAUAAUGCUUCCCAGGAAGGGGAGGCUGUACGCGUUCCUACUGUUCGCUGCAGUGUGGAGCCUGGCUUUGUCGGUUACAAGGUAUUCCAUCCCCGAAGAAAUCGAGGUGGGAUCCGUUAUUGCAAAUCUAGCCACAGAUCUUGGACUCGACAUUAGCAGCCUUGGAGAACGAAACGUGAAGCUCGAGAUCAUCCAAGACAUCAACAAGAGAUAUCUAGAUAUCAACAAAGAGACCGGGGAUAUGUUUAUUCUGGAAAAGAUAGACAGAGAAUAUCUGUGCCCGACAAAGACUGUAUCAUCUUGUUUUCUCAAAAUGGAUGUCAUAAUUGAGAAUCCGGUACGUAUAUUUAACGUUGAAUUAGAAAUUCUGGACAUAAAUGACAAUGCACCUCAGUUUAGGAGAGAAACAAUGCACUUAGAUAUUUCGGAGUCUGCGUCACCAGGUGAACGAUUCUCUAUUACAAACGCCGUAGAUAUGGACGUGGGCAAGAAUUCAAUUGAAACGUAUUAUUUAAGCCAGAGCGAACAUUUUACCAUUGACCUACAAUCGGGGAGUGAUGGGACCAAAUAUGUAGAUUUAGUUUUAAAAAAGGAGCUUGAUCGGGAAAAGCAGGCUAUUCACAAUCUCAUUCUGACAGCUGUAGACGGCGGGGACCCUCCGCGAUCCGGUACUGCCAGCAUUGUAGUUCAGAUUCUGGAUACGAAUGACAACGCCCCUCAAUUUGACAGGCAAGUUUACUCUGUCGACUUAAUUGAAAACGCAUCAGCCGGUACUUUAGUAAUGAAACUUAACGCAACCGAUAAGGACGAGGGUUCAAACGCAGAGCUGACAUAUUCGUACACUUUGUACACAUCCGAGAAGACCCAGGAGAAAUUUUCCUUAGAUUCGAACACAGGAGAAAUCAGAGUAAAAGGAGUGAUUGACUUUGAGGAGAUUAAAAGUUUUGAAAUGUACAUUGAAGCCAAAGACAAGGGUCAGCAACCUCUCUCUGGACAGUGUAAAAUACUGGUGUUUAUCACAGAUCUAAAUGACAACCAUCCUGAAAUUACAGUCAAAUCUCUGAAGAGGUCAAUAGAGGAAAAUGCUGCUGUAGGAACAGUGUUAGCGGUUGUGAGUGUAAGUGACAGAGAUUCCGGAGAUAAUGGUAAAGUGGAUUUAACUAUCCAUGAUAGAUUUAAUCUACCCUUCCUACUCAACAAGUCCUCUGAGGAGUAUUUUUCUUUGCUUGUGUCUGAACCUUUGGACCGUGAGAGAGUCGCCAAUUAUGACAUUACAUUUAAAGUGAAAGACAGGGGCACACCAUCUCUGUCCGACAAUGAGACAAUAAGAUUAGAAAUACUGGAUGUCAAUGACAACGCGCCCCAAUUCCCAGAGUCUUUCUACACUAUCCAUGUCAUGGAGAAUAAUGAGCCUGGGACACUGUUAAGCUCGCUCUCGGCGCAUGAUCCCGACCUGAACGAAAACCAGUAUCUUGUCUACUUCAUUAUGGAGAAGAUGAUUGCCAACACAUCCAUGUCCAUGCUUUUCUCAAUCAAUCCGGAGAAUGGUAACCUGUACGCACUCAAGACAUUUGACUAUGAGAGAGAGAGGGAGUAUCUGUUCCACAUCGAGGCAAGGGACUCUGGGGUUCCUCCACUGAGCAGCAAUGUGACCGUCCACAUCAUCAUCCUGGACCAGAAUGACAACACCCCACAAAUCGUGUCCCCCUGGAGUGCCAAAGGGACAGUCAUCGAGGAGGUCAUCCCCAGGUCCUUCGAGAAAGGUUCACUCCUCACCAAAGUCAUCGCUCUGGAUGCAGACUCCGUGCAGAACUCACGCAUUACCUAUCAGUUCCUCCAGGUGACGGACGCCACCCUGUUCAGCCUGAAUCAGUACAACGGUGAGGUGCGGACCACCCGCAUGUUCAGCUACAGAGAUCCCCGCUACCAGCGACUGGUCAUCACCGCCAGGGACAACGGUGACCCUCCCCUCUCCGCCACGGUCACCAUAAAGAUCACCACUGUGGAGCAGGUGGUCACCGAAUUCUCAGAAACCACGGAGAUCCCUCUUCACUACGACCUUUUCACCGACUUAAAUCUGUACCUGGUCAUCGGCUUGGGGUCAGUGUCCUUCCUGCUGCUGAUCACCAUCCUGGUCAUAAUCGUGCUGAAGUGUCAGAAGCCCAAGCCGACCAAGCCGCCAUCCAACAGGAACAGCGUGGCCAGUCAGAGGAACUCCACCAUCGCCGACUCCACACUGAUCUCCAGCGAUGCCUACUGGUACAGCCUGUUCCUGGCCGAGACCCGGAAGGGUAAGGUGGUGGUGAGGCAGCCGCUGCCCAACGGCGCCGGCUACUUCGUGUCCAGCAUACCCAGGAGCAUGGCCCUUACGACGACCAGCGAAUCACGGUCCUCCACGUUACAGUACUCAAAAUGAAAGGAAGCCCAUUCUGCAGCUGGAGGUAUGCUGGUUGCUGACUCGGUGUUGUAGGAGCUCUGUGAUUUGGAGUCAAGCAGCGACCUGCCAUGACCCCAAAAUGCCAGCUCUCUCUCUCUCUCUCUGUCUCUCUCUCUCUCUCUCUCUCCCUCUCUUUCUCUCUCACUCUGCACUAAGAUGACUUCCAUCCCCUCCAAUAAUGUCACAAAAAACUCUACUCUUCAUAUACCUGAAGGAGGAGCUCAGUGGACCUCUGAUAUGAGAGAGACAGUCAAACAGUUACCUCAGUAAGAUGAAAGAUGCCCUCAAUAUCUCCCAUCAAGCAUGAUGCUGCAUGGCAACAGCAGAAGCUGCAAACGUACAUUUGUAAAUACACAGGUAAUGCUUUGCAUGAAAUUUCCCUUAACUAACAUAAAUAACGUUGGGUUAAUUAACUUAUGAAUUGAAUGAUGUUAGUUCAGAGAUGCUGGAUGCACUGAUAGAAGCCAAUGUUUUAUUUAACAUAAAAAACAUAACCAGCAGAUGUUACCAUUCAAAAUAGUUCAUAAAUUCUGAAGGUUGGGGGUGGUUGGAUUCAUGUUAGUUAUUGGAGCAUUAAUGUAAAGCCUUACUUAUGUAUAUAUUUAAAGUGUUUCACCAAAAAAGAUGUACAUGCUGAGUCAUCUUAGGCAUACAGCUUUCAUAAUGCUUGACUGUAUCUAACAGACAGUGGUCACACAAAUGUGUAUUUCUCCAUGUUUCACCAUAUUGUUUGUAAUGAUAAGUAUCAGAUUACAGUGAAAAUAUCAAAUCUGUACAAAUCCACAGGGUCUUAGGUCACAGCUUAUAGUUCUGUGACAAAUCUAUAAGAAGUGGUUCAUGAUUCCUAUACUAGUAGAUCAAGUAAUAGGAUUAUGAAUCACUAGCAGAAGCAUUUCAAACCUUUAAGGUUGCCCGGUGCUUGGCCAUACUGGUAGCCAUCUAGGUGUUGGGCAGGUAUAUAAUAUAUAUAUUAUAUAUAUAUAUAUUACAAAAUGUUAAAAACUGGAUACUAUCUAUGACCCUUAAGUGCAUUUAACUGGGCUGCUGAGAUACAUGCACCCUUGGAGACAGACAUUGUAGAUACUUUCUUCUUGUCUAGUCUUUUUUCUAUGAGCCCAUCUAUGCUCUGUACGGCAGAGAAUCAAAUCUCAGGCCAGCAUUAAAAACGCCAGACCACAGCCACCACGGCCCGUGCUUAAAGUACAAUAUAAAGGUGCAGUAAGGUACAGAAUGGUAUGUUAUUUAACCAGAAAUAACCAAAAAAUAACACCACAGACAUUGUGGAGGAGAUCACAUGGAGUACAAGCAAACACAGAACCACUGGCUGACUUCAUAUUAAUGCAGGUCCAGGGAGCAUAAGCAUUACGUAGCUUUUGUAAAAGAAAAAAAGGCCUCCUGUGCCAUACAGGUUCAGUGUUACACUCACAGCUAUUUGCACUGUGACAAUAUGCCAGCUACUUCCUGUAGUUUUUAAAUCAAUAAAACCAUGAAGUCAUUAUUCUAACAUCCACAGUAUAGAACCAUAGCGACACACAUUUUAAAAGACUGUUUAACUAAAGAAAGUAAUGUAUAAAUGUAAGUACUUUGUUAUUCAAUUUGCAUUAACAGUGCAAAAGAUUUUUGUUAAUUGAAACAGUAUUGGCUAAGUCAUAAUUUACAUUGUUUUAAUAUGAAUGAUAAUAUCAGAGCGUUAAGUGCACAUUGUGCAAUUUCAUCUGCGCUUCAAACAUGGGCUUUCCAAUAUCAAAGUGCCAUUUAUCUUUACAAACAUUUUAUUAUGACAGUGAAAUGAGUAAUGUAUUUGUUUGAGGGAAAUUACACACGUCAACAAAAGUUAAAAUAGCACAUCUUUAUCUGUUGCAUACUGCAAGAGUUUAGGAUUCCUGUAAAGGCCAAGAUCCCAUCCAUUGAUAUGCUCAGUGCAGACUGGGGUUCAAUAAUCCUAAUUUAUUGGGGUUCAGUAAUCCUAAUUUACUGGAGUUCAGCAAUCCUAAUUUACUGGGGUUCUUGCCAUCGCACAACAGGUGAGCUGUUAAAAUGACAGAAUGUUGCUUUAAUUCUGAUAAAGUUUGACAGAGCAAAUCCCUCUGAAAGCUGCUUUUUCCAUAUCAAGUGCAUUGUGUAAAGGAUUGUGUUAGUGGUGAAACGUCUUUGUCAGAUUUAGUUUUAGAGAAGGAGUUUAUCAUCAUGGGGCUUAUAUUAUAGAGAAGAAGCAUUUUUGGGAGAUGACUCACGAGUGAACGUAGAGCACAUUUCCACACCUGGUCUGUGCCGUGAAUCAUCCGUGCAGGAGUUAAACAAGCCAUCCAUCAGUGUGACAGAGGGAGCGGGGGAGGGAGGAAAGGUGCACAGCACAUCAGAAAAAAACUGGGUCAUUUGUUCCUGUUUAGAUUCCUCCAAGACUCCCCAAUGCUCUCUCUCUCUCUCUCUCUCUCUUUCUCCUUUAUUUUCCUUAGACUCCCCAUUUCUAUAUCACAGUUAUGUUGGUUAUUGUCUGAUUAUGGUAUUUAUUUGUUAUUUUUAAUAUUAUGAUAUCUUAAUUAUAUGUCUUAUGUAAAAAAAAGGACAAGUUGAAUAAUGAUUUGCCAUGUCGCAAAAAUAGGAAAAGUUUAUUUCAGACUGUAUGAGGAAACUUUUUUUGAAAUACUGCUUUAACGUGAUGUUUCUGCCUAAAAUAAAGAUGCUAAAGUCUCCAUGUAAGAGAUGAGGGUCAUGUGAGGUUGUUGCGUGUUGUAUGGCUGUAACCAUUCUCACGCAGAGAGGACUGAGGGAUUUCUCUACUUAGAAAACUCAUGACGAUGUAUUUAGUUUUUAAUAUCUGCAGGGAAUGUCACUUAAAUUGAAAUAUGUCAAAAAAUGUGUAAAUCCCUUGAACAUGUUGUUUUUUUCAGUUUAUUUUCUCUCUCUCUAUUUUCUCCCUAACCUUCUCCCUUUUUAUACUCUCUCUCUCUCUCUCUCUUUCCCAUCUCUCUCAUCAUUCUCAUAUGUUUGAUCUAAUCCAGCCAGACACACAGCUGCCCUGUCAUAUGGUCACUGUGUCAGUAACACUGACACACCUAGAGUCGGCCCACACACACACACUUAUGGCAUGACGGAAAGCUCACAGCGACCCGGGUUCAAAAUCCACCAAACAGAAUAAUCUCACAAGCCGCUUCCAAAUCUCUGGCUCUGUUGCAGAGCGGACAGGGGCCCGUAGCUCCGGUCUGAGGUUGUUAUUAUCGUUCCCACGCAGAGAGAGAGUCUCCAGGGCCAUCUGUGUGUUCGCCAAGAUCCCAGGCAAUAAUGGCAGACCCUCUAAGCUGGCCACCUCUUAGCCAAAUACCGUGACCUGGUUUGUAGCACAUGACUCUGUCAUGAGGAUAAAGAUUCUGUGUGUGUGUGUGUGUGUGUGUGUGUGUGUGUGUGAGAAUGUCGGUGUCAGUUGAGCUUACAACCUGUACAUAAUGGGCACCAUUUUAUUGACAUGGCAACCACUCCACACAGCUGCCCUCUUUUUUACUCCGUGUUCUUAAAAGAUUUGUUCUCCAACCCCAGCAGCCUCACUUCGGUCUUUCCAAUACUUGCUCAGGACAGGUGAUGGUGAUGGGCCAUGUGGAACACAAACACAAACACAAUAACUACAGAUAAAGCCUGUCAGAGUGCUCAUGCGUUGUCCAUCCAAAUGCCACUCCGUACUUGAGUUAGGUGUCGGGACUGUUUCACAUUUCUUUUACUGCUCAGAAUCCCUGCAUGGCUUUCUGUGGACUGUGAAGGCAUACUAAUCUUAUUGACAGGUUGCUAUGGUCGCAAGAUUUUAGUUGCCCUUCUGUUUUUUUUAUUAAAAUAACUGCACAGUGUACUCUUCCCUUUGUCCUUACUACUGCUAUUCUACCGCUUUGUAAAUGUUCUGCUUGUAUAUACUGCAAAGUGAAUAAAAGGUUUAUCAUUA